Molecule: ribosomal RNA, 305 nt
Filed under: uncultured bacterium
Lineage: Bacteria
Description: bacterial SSU rRNA
Rfam family: Bacterial small subunit ribosomal RNA
Source: RNAcentral
UCGUUCCUACGGGGGGCAGCAGUGAGGAAUAUUGGUCAAUGGGCUUACGCCUGAACCAGCCAAGUCGCGUGAGGGAAGACGGCCCUACGGGUUGUAAACCUCUUUUGCCGGGGAGCAACGGGCGUCACGUGUGGCGCCACUGAGAGUACCCGGAGAAAAAGCAUCGGCUAACUCCGUGCCAGCAGCCGCGGUAAUACGGAGGAUGCGAGCGUUAUCCGGAUUUAUUGGGUUUAAAGGGUGCGUAGGCGGAUCGUUAAGUCAGUGGUCAAAUUGAGGGGCUCAACCCCUUCCCGCCAUUGAAACCG